GACGAACGCUGGCGGCGUGCUUAACACAUGCAAGUCGAACGGUAAGGCUCCAGCUUGCUGGGGUACACGAGUGGCGAACGGGUGAGUAACACGUGGGUGACCUGCCCUGCACUUCGGGAUAAGCCUUGGAAACUGGGUCUAAUACCGGAUAGGACCAUGGUGUGGAUACUGUGGUGGAAAGUUUUUUCGGUGUGGGAUGGGCCCGCGGCCUAUCAGCUUGUUGGUGGGGUAAUGGCCUACCAAGGCGGCGACGGGUAGCCGGCCUGAGAGGGUGGACGGCCACAUUGGGACUGAGACACGGCCCAGACUCCUACGGGAGGCAGCAGUGGGGAAUAUUGCACAAUGGGCGGAAGCCUGAUGCAGCGACGCCGCGUGGGGGAUGACGGCCUUCGGGUUGUAAACUACUUUCACCAUAGACGAAGGGUUUCUGACGGUAGAUGGAGAAGAAGCACCGGCUAACUACGUG
This 466-nucleotide ribosomal RNA is filed under the name uncultured bacterium. RNAcentral's name for it is "partial 16S ribosomal RNA". It matches the Rfam family "Bacterial small subunit ribosomal RNA", at positions 28 to 507 of the family's 1533-position model. The record is from RNAcentral.